UACGUAGGGGGCAAGCGUUGUCCGGAAUUAUUGGGCGUAAAGAGCUCGUAGGCGGUCUGUCGCGUCCGUUGUGAAAACUCGAGGCUCAACCUCGGGCUUGCAGUGGAUACGGGCAGACUAGAGUGCGGUGGGGGAGACUGGAAUUCCCAGUGUAGCGGUGAAAUGCGUAGAUAUUGGGAGGAACACCAGUGGCGAAGGCGGCUCACUGGACCGGAACUGACGCUGAGGCGCGAAAGCGUGGGGAGCAAACAGG
RNAcentral lists this ribosomal RNA (253 nucleotides) under uncultured bacterium. RNAcentral describes it as "partial 16S ribosomal RNA". It matches the Rfam family "Bacterial small subunit ribosomal RNA", at positions 524 to 776 of the family's 1533-position model. The record is from RNAcentral.